Molecule: transfer RNA, 73 nt
Filed under: Actinoplanes regularis
Lineage: Bacteria; Bacillati; Actinomycetota; Actinomycetes; Micromonosporales; Micromonosporaceae
Rfam family: tRNA
About the family: Transfer RNA (tRNA) molecules are approximately 80 nucleotides in length.
Source: Rfam by way of RNAcentral
CGGGCCGUAGUGCAGAGGUCGUCACGCCGCCCUCUCAAGGCGGAGGACGCCGGUUCGAAUCCGGCCGGCUCGC